RNAcentral lists this long non-coding RNA (799 nucleotides) under Olea europaea subsp. europaea. The record is from RNAcentral. Lineage: Eukaryota; Viridiplantae; Streptophyta; Magnoliopsida; Lamiales; Oleaceae.
CUCACCUCCACCGCUAUUCUUUACUCCUUUUUUUUUUUUUUGCUCUUUUCCUCUCCCCUCUUCCCCUUAUCUCACGACCUCUAUGCCUUCACUCUAAUUUUAUCGUCACUAGAAGACGACCACUGGAAGAUCAUGAUUGAGCAGAAUUCACAAUGAUGACAGCAACACUACGAACCGUAACAGGUGGUGCUCGUGGUAGCGACGGCGACUCGAAGAAAUCGACUCACGACUGUGGGGAACAUGGUGGCCCGACGAUUACAGUCGGUGAUUUGGUGUGGAUCUAGGGUAAAUGUGGUGGUGGUGGUUUUGAUUUUAAAUUUAAUGUAGAUAUGGUGGUGAAAAUCGACGCACGAUCGUGAGAAGAUAGUGGUCUGACGGCUGCAGUCGACGAUUUGGUGUGGUGGCAGUAGUGUUAAUGGCUUUGGAGGUUGUGAAUUGGUAGAGGCUCUAUUGAAUCGACUAAGUGGUGCUGGCGUGGUGUUGUCGUAGUGGUGAUAAAGUAGUGGUGAUGGAUGUUGAUUUGUUUGAGAUAGAGAUGGCGGUGUUGUUGCAGAUUGUCUUGAAAUGGCGGUGAUGGGUAGUUACUAUGAUGCUAUGGGUGUAAUGGUACGGUGGUUUGGUGCGCGGUGGUGGGGAAUGGAGGUGUGGUGGGUGCAACAGUGAUGUGCUACCUCGAUGCUGUGGGUGCGAUGGUGGUAUGGUGAUUGGGUGUGUGGUGUGGUGUGGUGUUGUUCGCUGUUAUGUGGUGGUGGUGACGACGGUGAGGUAGUUCUGGCAGCAGCUGUUGGAAGUGGUGGGG